This 506-nucleotide ribosomal RNA is filed under the name uncultured bacterium. RNAcentral describes it as "partial 16S ribosomal RNA". It matches the Rfam family "Bacterial small subunit ribosomal RNA", at positions 29 to 523 of the family's 1533-position model. The record is from RNAcentral.
AGUGAACGCUGGCGGUAGGCCUAACACAUGCAAGUCGAACGGCAGCACAGAGGAGCUUGCUCCUUGGGUGGCGAGUGGCGGACGGGUGAGGAAUACAUCGGAAUCUACUCUGUCGGGGGGGAUAACGUAGGGAAACUUACGCUAAUACCGCAUACGACCUACGGGUGAAAGCAGGGGAUCUUCGUACCUUGCGCGAUUGAAUGAGCCGAUGUCGGAUUAGCUAGUUGGCGGGGUAAAGGCCCACCAAGGCGACGAUCCGUAGCUGGUCUGAGAGGAUGAUCAGCCACACUGGAACUGAGACACAGUCCAGACUCCUACGGGAGGCAGCAGUGGGGAAUAUUGGACAAUGGGCGCAAGCCUGAUCCAGCCAUACCGCGUGGGUGAAGAAGGCCUUCGGGUUGUAAAGCCCUUUUGUUGGGAAAGAAAUCCAUCUGGUUAAUACCCGGGUGGGAUGACGGUACCCAAAGAAUAAGCACCGGCUAACUUCGUGCCAGCCGCCGCCGUAA